UAAUAGAGAUGAAGCUUGAUAGAUCCACCCAGGUGUAGGUGAAAUGGUAGAGCCUCAAGCGUAAUAGAUGCCGUGCUCUCGUGCUGAAGUUCAGCCCCGUGUCCUGAAGGGUUGUCUGGCAGCACAGAGAUGGGUUGCUCUUUGCACAGUUAAAAAGUCAAUGUGCUCCUUCCAGCUCACAUGUAUGACUAAUUUAGAAAGCAACCUGGAUCUAGGUGAGCGCUGCAGACCUGCCUCUUCUGCUCAGUGCACGGACAAAGCACAGCACACAGAGUAUCGAAAGAGACAUCAAUCAAACUGGAUAAUUUUGCUUUGACCAUUAAACACUUGUGGCUUUGUGAGGUUGCCUGAAGUUCCCCGGCGGCGCCCGGCAGGACGGGGAGCGCCACGGCUGCGGCUGGCGGGG
Long non-coding RNA from Ficedula albicollis (Collared flycatcher), 406 nucleotides. RefSeq lists it as uncharacterized. The transcript is spliced from 3 exons. The record is from RefSeq and is a predicted model, not a curated record. NCBI's taxonomy places the organism in Eukaryota, Metazoa, Chordata, Aves, Passeriformes, Muscicapidae.